This 459-nucleotide ribosomal RNA is filed under the name uncultured bacterium. Its description in RNAcentral is "partial 16S ribosomal RNA". It matches the Rfam family "Bacterial small subunit ribosomal RNA", at positions 338 to 795 of the family's 1533-position model. The record is from RNAcentral.
CCUACGGGUGGCAGCAGUGAGGAAUAUUGGUCAAUGGGCGCGAGCCUGAACCAGCCAAGUCGCGUGAGGGAAGACGGUCCUAUGGAUUGUAAACCUCUUUUGUCGGGGAGCAAAAGACGCCACGCGUGGCGUUCCGCGAGUACCCGAAGAAAAAGCAUCGGCUAACUCCGUGCCAGCAGCCGCGGUAAUACGGAGGAUGCGAGCGUUAUCCGGAUUUAUUGGGUUUAACGGGUGCGCAGGCGGAAGAUCAAGUCAGCGGGAAAAUUGAGAGGCGAACCCGCGUCGAGCCGUUGAAACUGGUUUUCUUGAGUGAGUUAGAAGGAUGCGGAAUGCGUGGUGUAGCGGUGAAAUGCAUAGAUAUCACGCAGAACUCCGAUUGCGAAGGCAGCAUACCGGCGCUCAACUGACGCUCAUGCACGAAAGUGUGGGUAUCGAACAGGAUUAGAUACCCUUGUAGUC